RNAcentral lists this ribosomal RNA (500 nucleotides) under uncultured Myrionecta. RNAcentral's name for it is "SSU rRNA". It matches the Rfam family "Eukaryotic small subunit ribosomal RNA", at positions 34 to 600 of the family's 1831-position model. Lineage: Eukaryota; Ciliophora; Litostomatea; Cyclotrichida; Mesodiniidae. The record is from RNAcentral.
CUUUCUUAGAUAAGCCAUGCACGUCUAGUACAAACUAAAUGAUGGUGAAACUGCAAAUGGCUCAUUACAACGGUUAUGAUGUACCCGGGAGUUCCGAUGGAUAUUUCCAGUAACACUAGAACUAAUACAUGUCCCUGCGUUUAUUAGUUUCGCACAGUCCGUCGCUGAGUCAUGGUAAACAGUUGAUCGACUCGACGUCCCGGAACAGUUUCCGCCCCAUCAGCUUCGAUGGUUGGGUAUUGGCCUACCAUUGCAACAACGGGUAACGAGGAAUUAGGGUUUGAUUUCGGAGAGGGAGCCUGAGAAACGGCUACCACAUCUACGGAUGGCAGCAGGCGCGCAAAUUACCCAAUGCAGACACUGUGAGGUAGUGACGAGAAAUAAUAAAGCGGGACUUCUGUUUCGCUAUUAUAAUGAGGAAUAACCAAAGGUCAUUCCGAUUAGCAACUGAUGGGAAAGUCUGGUGCCAGCAGCCGCGGUAAUACCAGCGUCAGUAGCAU